Molecule: ribosomal RNA, 253 nt
Filed under: uncultured bacterium
Lineage: Bacteria
Description: partial 16S ribosomal RNA
Rfam family: Bacterial small subunit ribosomal RNA
Source: RNAcentral
GACAGAGGGUGCAAACGUUGUUCGGAAUUACUGGGCGUAAAGUGUGCGCAGGCGGCAGAGCAAGUCGAGUGUGAAAGCCCCGGGCUUAACUUGGGAAUUGCGCUCGAAACUACUUUGCUGGAGUGUGGCAGAGGAAGGUGGAAUUCCACGUGUAGCGGUGAAAUGCUUAGAUAUGACAUAGAACACCAAUUGCGAAGGCAGCUUGCUACACGGAUAUUGACUCUGAGGCACGAAAGCGUGGGGAUCAAACAGG